GGGUUCGAUUCCGGAGAGGGAGCCUGAGAAACGGCUACCACAUCCAAGGAAGGCAGCAGGCGCGCAAAUUACCCAAUCCCGACACGGGGAGGUAGUGACAAUAAAUAACAAUACGGGGCUCUUUCGGGUCUCGUAAUUGGAAUGAGUACAAUUUAAAUCCCUUAACGAGGAACAAUUGGAGGGCAAGUCUGGUGCCAGCAGCCGCGGUAAUUCCAGCUCCAAUAGCGUAUAUUAAAGUUGUUGCAGUUAAAAAGCUCGUAGUUGAAUUUCGGGAUUGACACAUCGGUCGUGCCUUAAGGGGUAUGAACUGGUGUAGUCAAUUUCUCACCUUCUGGAGAACCGCGAUGCCCUUAAUUGGGUGUCACGGGGAACCAGGACCUUUACUUUGAAAAAAUUAGAGUGUUUAAAGCAGGCAUUUUGCUUGAAUACAUUAGCAUGGAAUAAUAAAAUAGGACGGCAUGAUUCUAUUUUGUUGGUUUCUAGGAUCACCGUAAUGAUUAAUAGGGAUAGUUGGGGGCAUUAGUAUUCAAUUGUCAGAGGUGAAAUUCUUGGAUUUAUUGAAGACUAACUACUGCGAAAGCAUUUGCCAAGGAUGUUUUCAUUAAUCAAGAACGAAAGUUAGGGGAUCGAAGACGAUCAGAUACCGUCGUAGUCUUGACCAUAAACUAUGCCGACUAGGAAUCAGACGAUGUUAAUUUUUUAAUGACUCGUUUGGCACCUUACGGGAAA
RNAcentral lists this ribosomal RNA (729 nucleotides) under uncultured Glomeromycotina. RNAcentral's name for it is "SSU rRNA". It matches the Rfam family "Eukaryotic small subunit ribosomal RNA", at positions 373 to 1097 of the family's 1831-position model. Lineage: Eukaryota; Fungi; Glomeromycota. The record is from RNAcentral.